Molecule: ribosomal RNA, 478 nt
Filed under: uncultured bacterium
Lineage: Bacteria
Description: partial 16S ribosomal RNA
Rfam family: Bacterial small subunit ribosomal RNA
Source: RNAcentral
GACGAACGCUGGCGGCGUGCUUAACACAUGCAAGUCGAACGGUAAGGCCCUUCGGGGUCCCCGAGUAGCGAACCGGUGAGUAACACGUGGGUGACCUGCCCUGCACUUCGGGAUAAGCCUAGGACACUGGGUCUACUACCGGAUAGGACGCCUGGAUUCUUGGUUGGGGGUGCAAAGCUUCUGCGGUGUGGGCUGGGCCCGCGGCCUAUCAGCUUGUUGGGGGGGUAAUGGCGUACCAAGGCGACGGCGGGUCGCCGGCCUGAGAGGGUGACCGGUCACACUGGGACUGGGAUACGGCCCAGACUCCUACGGGAGGCAGCAGUGGGGAAUAUUGCACAAUGGGCGCAAGCCUGAUGCAGCGACGCCGCGUGAGGGAUGACGGCCUUCGGGUUGUAAACCUCUUUCAGCUAUGACGAAGCGCAAGUGACGGUAGUAGCAGAAGAAGGACCGGCCAACUACGUGCCAGCCGCCGCCGUAA